GACGAACGCUGGCGGCGUGCUUAACACAUGCAAGUCGAACGGAAAGGCCCUGCUUUUGUGGGGUGCUCGAGUGGCGAACGGGUGGGUAACACGUGAGUAACCUGCCCUUGACUUUGGGAUAACUUCAGGAAACUGGGGCUAAUACCGGAUAGGAGCUCCGCUGCAUGGUGGGGGUUGGAAAGUUUCGGCGGUUGGGGAUGGACUCGCGGCUUAUCAGCUUGUUGGUGGGGUAGUGGCUUACCAAGGCUUUGACGGGUAGCCGGCCUGAGAGGGUGACCGGCCACAUUGGGACUGAGAUACGGCCCAGACUCCUACGGGAGGCAGCAGUGGGGAAUAUUGCACAAUGGGCGGAAGCCUGAUGCAGCAACGCCGCGUGCGGGAUGACGGCCUUCGGGUUGUAAACCGCUUUCGCCUGUGACGAAGCGUGAGUGACGGUAAUGGGUAAAGAAGCACCGGCUAACUACGUG
This 467-nucleotide ribosomal RNA is filed under the name uncultured bacterium. RNAcentral describes it as "partial 16S ribosomal RNA". It matches the Rfam family "Bacterial small subunit ribosomal RNA", at positions 28 to 507 of the family's 1533-position model. The record is from RNAcentral.